UCAGGUCAACAGACAGUCAGCUAAAGCUAUGGAAUGUAGGGAAGCCGCAUUGUUUGCGUUCUUUUAAGGGUCACAUCAAUGAGAAGAAUUUUGUUGGCUUGGCAUCUAAUGGAGACUAUAUUGCCUGUGGAAGUGAAAAUAAUUCACUCUACCUGUACUAUAAAGGCCUAUCAAAGACAUUGCUAACCUUCAAAUUUGACACUGUCAAAAGCGUCCUGGACAAAGACCGUAAGGAGGAUGACACAAAUGAAUUUGUCAGUGCUGUAUGCUGGAGGGCACUACCAGAUGGGGAGUCCAAUGUGUUGAUUGCUGCUAACAGUCAGGGUACAAUUAAGGUGAGUUUUAAAACAUUGACCAGUGAUAGCAGCAAGGUUACAGAAAAUUGGAAGAG
This is a long non-coding RNA of Candoia aspera, 391 nucleotides long. RefSeq lists it as uncharacterized. Lineage: Eukaryota; Metazoa; Chordata; Lepidosauria; Squamata; Candoiidae. The record is from RefSeq and is a predicted model, not a curated record. The transcript has 3 exons.